Molecule: unclassified non-coding RNA, 240 nt
Filed under: soil metagenome
Description: partial contains 5.8S ribosomal RNA, internal transcribed spacer 2, and large subunit ribosomal RNA
Source: RNAcentral
AACGCACGAGACCUGCGGACCUGCGGAGGGAUCAUUAAAAAUGCAGGGGGGCUCUUUAGGGUCUCCCACUAUUUUUAUUCUGUGCACCGUUAAUUUGGGGGAAACCCCGCCCUGGGUUGGUUCGCUGUCUCCUUUGGGGGACUGUUCGGCCGCCCAGACAACUAUUAUACUAUUAUGACUGAACCAUAACAGAAAAUUGUUAACAUAUAAACAACUUUUAACAACGGAUCUCUAGAUCGG